Molecule: ribosomal RNA, 251 nt
Filed under: uncultured prokaryote
Description: partial 16S rRNA
Rfam family: Bacterial small subunit ribosomal RNA
Source: RNAcentral
ACGGGGGGUGCAAGCGUUGUUCGGAAUUAUUGGGCGUAAAGAGCGUGUAGGCGGAUGAAUAAGUCAGAUGUGAAAUCCCCGGGCUUAACUCAGGAAGUGCAUUUGAAACUAUCCGGCUUGAGUAGAGGAGAGGAAAGUGGAAUUCCUGGUGUAGAGGUGAAAUUCGUAGAUAUCAGGAGGAACACCGAUGGCGAAGGCGGCUUACUGGACUUUUACUGACGCUGAUACGCGAGAGCGUGGGUAGCAAACAG